GACGAACGCUGGCGGCGUGCUUAACACAUGCAAGUCGAACGAUGAAGCUGGAGCUUGCUCCGGUGGAUUAGUGGCGAACGGGUGAGUAACACGUGAGCAAUCUGCCCUUGACUCUGGGAUAACUGCGGGAAACUGUAGCUAACACCGGAUACGAGGCUCGAAGGCAUCUUCGGGUCUGGAAGGAAUUUCGGUCAAGGAUGAGCUCGCGGCCUAUCAGCUUGUUGGUGAGGUAAUGGCUCACCAAGGCGACGACGGGUAGCCGGCCUGAGAGGGUGACCGGCCACACUGGGACUGAGACACGGCCCAGACUCCUACGGGAGGCAGCAGUGGGGAAUAUUGCACAAUGGGCGAAAGCCUGAUGCAGCAACGUCGCGUGAGGGAUGAAGGCCUUCGGGUUGUAAACCUCUUUUAGCAGGGAAGAAGCGAAAGUGACGGUACCUGCAGAAAAAGCACCGGCUAACUACGUGCCAGCCGCCGCCGUAA
Molecule: ribosomal RNA, 483 nt
Filed under: uncultured bacterium
Lineage: Bacteria
Description: partial 16S ribosomal RNA
Rfam family: Bacterial small subunit ribosomal RNA
Source: RNAcentral